This 22-nucleotide microRNA is filed under the name Pristionchus pacificus. Its description in RNAcentral is "ppc-miR-8285-3p". The record is from miRBase by way of RNAcentral. Lineage: Eukaryota; Metazoa; Nematoda; Chromadorea; Rhabditida; Neodiplogasteridae.
UGUCAUGACGCAGGAUUGGAUU